AGAGUUUGAUCCUGGCUCAGGACGAACGCUGGCGGCGUGCCUAACACAUGCAAGUCAAGGAAAAGUUAACCUUCAGGUUGGCGGACACUGGCGAACGGGUGAGUAACGCGUAGGUAUCUGCCCCAAUCACUGACAUAACGUCGAGAAAUCGACGCUAAUAUCAGAUGAGGCGCUUUGCGUCAAAGCUUCGGCGGAUUGGGAUGAACCUGCGUCUGAUUAGCUAGUUGGUAGGGUAACUGCCUACCAAGGCGACGAUCAGUAGCUGGUCUGAGAGGAUGGUCAGCCACACUGGAACUGAGACACGGUCCAGACUCCUACGGGAGGCAGCAGUGAGGAAUAUUGGUCAAUGGGGGAAACCCUGAACCAGCGACGCCGCGUGCGGGAUGACAGGGCUUUGCCCCGUAAACCGCUGUCGGGAGGGAAGAAAAGGGCCUUCGGGGCCCCGGGACGGUACCUCUAAAGGAAGGAUCGGCUAACUACGUGCCAGCAGCCGCGGUAAUACGUAGGAUCCAAGCGUUGUCCGGAUUUACUGGGUGUAAAGGGUGCGUAGGCGGGCUUGUGCGUCAGGGGUUAAAUGUUACGGCUCAACCGUAAACCUGCCCUUGAUACGGCAAGUCUUGAGUGUAAGAGAGGAUAGUAGAAUUCCUGGUGUAGCGGUGAAAUGCGUAGAUAUCAGGAGGAAUACCGGUGGCGAAGGCGGCUAUCUGGCUUACAACUGACGCUCAGGCACGAAAGCGCGGGGAGCGAACAGGAUUAGAUACCCUGGUAGUCCGCGCCCUAAACGAUGUAUGCUUGGUGUUGGAAGAAUUAUCUUUCAGUGCCGGAGGAAACCCGUUAAGCAUACCACCUGGGGAGUACGAUCGCAAGGUUGAAACUCAAAGGAAUUGACGGGGGCCCGCACAAGCGGUGGAUCAUGUGGUUUAAUUCGAUGCAACGCGAAGAACCUUACCCAGGCUUGAAGUGUCGGUCCUUCGGGAUAGACCGUUGAAAGACGGUCGAACGAUAGAGGUGCUGCAUGGCUGUCGACAGCUCGUGCCGUGAGGUGUUGGGUUAAGUCCCGCAACGAGCGCAACCCCUAUCCUUAGUUGCCAUCGGCUAGGCCGGGCACUCUAAGGAGACUGCCUACGCAAGUAGAGAGGAAGGUGGGGAUGACGUCAAGUCAUCAUGGCCCUUAUGUCUGGGGCUACACACGUGAUACAAUGGUCGGUACAGUGGGCGAAACCGCGAGGUUUAGGAAAUCCCCAAAACCGAUCUCAGUUCGGAUUGUAGUCUGCAACUCGACUACAUGAAGCUGGAAUCGCUAGUAAUCGUAGAUCAGCUCGCUACGGUGAAUACGUUCCCGGGCCUUGUACACACCGCCCGUCAAGCCAUGGAAGUUGGGGGCGCCCGAAGCCGCUAGAAAUAGCGUCGAAGGCGAACUCGAUGACUGGGGCUAAGUCGUAACAAGGUA
This 1450-nucleotide ribosomal RNA is filed under the name metagenome. RNAcentral's name for it is "bacterial SSU rRNA". It matches the Rfam family "Bacterial small subunit ribosomal RNA". The record is from RNAcentral.